ACCUGGUUGGCUUAGUGGUUGAGCAUCUGUCUUUGGAUCAGAUCAUGAUCCUGGUGUCCUGGGAUCGAGUCCUAAAUCAGGCU
Molecule: transfer RNA, 83 nt
Filed under: Canis lupus familiaris (dog)
Lineage: Eukaryota; Metazoa; Chordata; Mammalia; Carnivora; Canidae
Also listed under: 1 other name
Rfam family: tRNA
About the family: Transfer RNA (tRNA) molecules are approximately 80 nucleotides in length.
Source: Rfam by way of RNAcentral